GAAAGCCUCAGAAAGAGGUUCAUUGUGUGAAUUUGUGUGGAGUUACUGGAGUCCCCUUUUUAAUCAUCAAUGGAGCAUAUUCUGCUGGACUACAACUGCGCGGCGUCGGAGGACGACGCGUCAGACAUCGGUCACUUUAUCGGACAGAGGAGAAGCUGGGCGAGCAGCUCGGCUCCGAGUCUGUGCCAGUGGUCAGCAGCCGCAACCUCCUUCCUCCCCCAGAGAGCAACAGACAGACACCGAGACGGAUGGACAGCCCGAAAUUACAGCUCAACCGGCAUUCUGAGGAUAAACAUCUCUUGUAAAAAUACACCGAGCGGCCAGGAGUAGCUAAAGGAGCAGGUUCAGCGCGGCCCGGGGCCAGGGAGGGCACGCCGGCCUGCUGUAUUUACAGCCCGCCUAUCGAGGGACAGUCCUCGUACUCUGCCUUCCAAGCAUGGAUCCCAAUUUGUGGCUUCGCCGAAUUACUGAGGGUGGAAGGGCCACCCUUUGAUAUAUUUAUAAAUAUAUUUUGCUUGUUUGUGAAAUGCACCACAAAGUAGAAAGGAGGCUGAGAGCACGAGAGAACGUUGAACCACAGGGUCCUCAUUCAUUUUAUGUUGAAUGGAGCUUGGAAAAUGAAGAAGCGCCGCGCGUGAAGCGUCUUUGGGAGGGGACAACUUCACACUGGAGUCCAUGCAAAGUUUUGAUACUUUCUGACAAAACAAAAGCCCCACAAGUUGAAGCGUGAAGUCUAAUGACUACUAUGACCUCCUCUAUCUGAACCCAAGGGCCUUGUUGUACUUGGUCACUCCUGGUCCCAUCCAAGGGCUCUAUUGUCUGGGGCCAGAAGCUGGAAACCCUCCCCUGUCUCUGGCAUCCACGGCGGGACAAUGGGCAAAGACAAAUCUCUGACACCCCGUCCUCCAAGGGGACAGGGCUGCAUUAUUGCUGCCGAUGUUUCCUUUACUAUCUCCUCCCUUCUCACUAGUCUGUGUGUGUGUGUUUUCUUUUCAAUGAAAAACACAGAAGGAAAUACAGCGAGAGAGAGGAGAGGACAAAAGAUAGAGGGCCUCAAUGAUGAAGUGACCUGAAGAGGGGGGAGAUCAUUUCAAAUGGGAUUACACACACACACACGCACACAGGCCAACUUCAUUGUCUCUGACACUACUCAACCUACACAAUACAGAGCAGGAUAUUGCUGCACCAUGCAGUCCUUUCACUAUGUAGUCUCAAGCCUGCUGAG
Gasterosteus aculeatus aculeatus (three-spined stickleback) is the source of this 1225-nucleotide long non-coding RNA. The record is from Ensembl. Lineage: Eukaryota; Metazoa; Chordata; Actinopteri; Perciformes; Gasterosteidae.